RNAcentral lists this long non-coding RNA (256 nucleotides) under Ananas comosus (pineapple). RNAcentral's name for it is "long non-coding RNA (ACOM_LNC026040)". The record is from RNAcentral. Lineage: Eukaryota; Viridiplantae; Streptophyta; Magnoliopsida; Poales; Bromeliaceae.
AGUUUCUUGGUCUCUAAUUGCUGAAAAUUGGAGUAAAUGUGGUAUUUGAGUUGAAAUUGGAUUUUUAGUUGGAGUUUUUUAGUUUGUGGAUCCGAUUUCUUGUAGUUGGAUUAUUGCUUGAUUUUUGUUGGUUUUUCCAUCUUAUUUGGCGGAUUUGGAACCUCUCUUAUUGGAUUUACAGGUUGGUAACUGAAUUCUUGGUCGUAAUUGCAGUAAUUUGUGAGUUUAGUGUUGAGUCUGAAAUUCAUGUUUUGGG